RNAcentral lists this ribosomal RNA (484 nucleotides) under uncultured Geodermatophilaceae bacterium. Its description in RNAcentral is "bacterial SSU rRNA". It matches the Rfam family "Bacterial small subunit ribosomal RNA", at positions 8 to 507 of the family's 1533-position model. The record is from RNAcentral. Lineage: Bacteria; Bacillati; Actinomycetota; Actinomycetes; Geodermatophilales; Geodermatophilaceae.
AGAGUUUGAUCCUGGCUCAGGACGAACGCUGGCGGCGUGCUUAACACAUGCAAGUCGAACGAUGAAGCCAGCUUGCUGGUGGAUUAGUGGCGAACGGGUGAGUAACACGUGGGCAACCUGCCCUCAGCUCUGGGAUAACUCCAAGAAAUUGGUGCUAAUACCGGAUAUUCUUCUUUCACCGCAUGGUGGUUGGAGGAAAGUUUUUCGGCUGGGGAUGGGCCCGCGGCCUAUCAGCUUGUUGGUGGGGUGAUGGCCUACCAAGGCGACGACGGGUAGCCGGCCUGAGAGGGUGACCGGCCACACUGGGACUGAGACACGGCCCAGACUCCUACGGGAGGCAGCAGUGGGGAAUAUUGCGCAAUGGGCGAAAGCCUGACGCAGCGACGCCGCGUGAGGGAUGACGGCCUUCGGGUUGUAAACCUCUUUCAGCAGGGACGAAGCGAAAGUGACGGUACCUGCAGAAGAAGCACCGGCCAACUACGUG